GGGGGACCACCCUCUAAGCCUAAAUACUCUUCAGUGACCGAUAGUGAACUAGUACCGUGAGGGAAAGGUGAAAAGAACCCCUAUUAGGGGAGUGAAAUAGAACCUGAAACCGGAUGCCUACAAUCAGUCGGAGCUCUAUAUGAGUGACGACGUACCUUUUGUAUAAUGGGUCAGUGACUUUAUCUGUGCAGCAAGCUUAAGCCGAAAAGGUGUAGGCGUAGCGAAAGCGAGUCUGAAUAGGGCGAUGAGUUGUACGGAUAAGAACCCGAAACCUAGUGAUCUAGUUAUGAGCAGGUUGAAGGUAAGGUAACACUUACUGGAGGACCGAACCGGUGCCUGUUGAAAAAGGCUCGGAUGACUUGUGAUUAGGGGUGAAAGGCCAAUCAAACUGGGAGAUAGCUGGUUUUCCGCGAAAACUAUUUAGGUAGUGCGUUGAAUAAUAAGAUCUUGAGGGGUAGAGCACUAAAUAGGCUAGGGGGAAGAAAUUCUUACUAAACCUAAUAAAACUCCGAAUACUCAAGAUUGUUUCUCAAUAGACAGACGGUGGGAGCUAACUUCCAUCGUCGAGAGGGAAAAAACCCAGACCACCAUCUAAGGUCCCAAAAUCGUAGUUAAGUGUGAAAGGAUGUGAAGACUCCAAAACAGCCGGGAGGUUGGCUUAGAAGCAGCCAUCCUUUAAAGAAAGCGUAACAGCUCACCGGUCUAAUUAAGAGACUUUGCGCCGAAGAUGUAACGGGGCUCAAACUACGUACCGAAGUUGUGGAUUUAAAGUGUCUACGGACAUUUUAUCUGGUAGCGGAACGUUCUGUAAGUCUGCGAAGGGAUACCCGCGAGGGGUCCUGGAGAUAUCAGAAGUGCGAAUGCUGACAUAAGUAGCGACAAACAGAGUGAAAGACUCUGUCGCCGAAAAUACAAGGGUUCCUGCGUAAAGUUAAUCUUCGCAGGGUUAGUCGGCCCCUAAGGCGAGGGCGAAAGCCGUAGUCGAUGGGAACAAGGUAAAUAUUCCUUGACCUGAUGGUAGUGACGGAUCUCGUAUAUUGUAAGUUCUUAUUGGAUUGAACUUGCCUUGAAGAGGUCCCAGGAAAUAACUCCAUCAUUAAGACCGUACCCUAAACGGACACACGUGUAUUGGUAGAGAAUACCUAGGCGCUUGAGAGAAUGAUGUUGAAGGAACUCGGCAACUUGCCUCUGUAACUUCGGGAUAAAGAGGGCCUUAUUUUGCGCAAGCAGAGUAAGGUGGCACAAGCCAGGGAGUAGCGACUGUUUAACAAAAACACAGGACUCUGCUAACACGUAAGUGGAUGUAUAGGGUCUGACGCCUGCCCGGUGCCGGAAGGUUAAGUGAUGAGGUCAGCGCAAGCGAAGCUUCUGAUCGAAGCCCCGGUAAACGGCGGCCGUAACUAUAACGGUCCUAAGGUAGCGAAAUUCCUUGUCGGGUAAGUUCCGACCUGCACGAAUGG
This 1460-nucleotide ribosomal RNA is filed under the name freshwater metagenome. RNAcentral's name for it is "bacterial LSU rRNA". It matches the Rfam family "Bacterial large subunit ribosomal RNA", at positions 447 to 1999 of the family's 2925-position model. The record is from RNAcentral.